RNAcentral lists this ribosomal RNA (433 nucleotides) under Micronecta sp. Its description in RNAcentral is "partial large subunit ribosomal RNA". It matches the Rfam family "Archaeal large subunit ribosomal RNA", at positions 1921 to 2592 of the family's 2987-position model. The record is from RNAcentral. Lineage: Eukaryota; Metazoa; Arthropoda; Insecta; Hemiptera; Micronectidae.
GUCUUAUAGAUAUUUAUUUUAAGUCGGUCCUGCCCACUGAUAUUUUUAAUGGCCGCGGUAUUUUGACCGUGCAAAGGUAGCAUAAUCAUUUGUCUCUUAAUUGGAGGCUGGUAUGAAUGGUUUGACGAGAAUAAAACUUUAUUAAUAUAAUUUUUUGAAUUUAAUCUUUAAGUUAAAAAGCUUAAAUUUAUUUAAGGGACGAGAAGACCCUAUAGAACUUUAUUAUUUAUUUUUAUUUGAAUUUUUGGAUUAUAGUUUUUAUUUGAAUCUACAUAAUUUGAUUGGGGCGAUUUUGAGGAAUUUUUAACCCUCAAAUUUUAAAAUUAUAUAUAAAUAUUUUUUUGAUCCAUUUUUUAUGAUUAAUAGUUUAAGUUACCUUAGGGAUAACAGCGUUAUUUACUUGGAGAGUUCUUAUCGAUAAGUGAGAUUGCGA